GGAGUGUUUCACAACCGCAUCACACUCCUCAGUUCACCAUGGACAGAAAAGUGCUGUUGCUCCUGUUGAGUCUGCAGGUUUUCCUGCUCAUCACAGCCUUCACUUCCACAGAUGCGGCCACUCUGCCAGACGAUCCUCAGAAACAAUCUCUGGAUGUGGGAAUAACCAGGGAUGACAGACGAAAGGAAAGAGAAAGAGUCAAACGACAGUCCUGUGAAUCGUGGCCUGGUGGAUGUUCCAUCCUCGGCCUAAUGAUCAUGCGUAAUAUUCCUGAUUAUAAGAACGAUGAAACAACAUCAAAACCUCUCCAGGCCGUUCUGAAGAAAAACUGAAAUGUUGUUUUCGAUAUACAGGACAAAAAAAGUGAUCUGAAGAAAAGCCAGACGAAACACCGGAGAGCUGAAAACUGAGACCUUUACCGACUACAUCUUUUCUCUAAGAGACAUUUCUUUCCUUGUUAAAAGAAAUAUUUUUCAUUGUUUCCAUGUACUGUUAUGAAGGCAAUAACCAGUGAAGCUUUGCAUGAUUUAAGAAAUCCCUAUAUUCUUCACUGAUAUGUAUACUUUAGCUCCCUGUAUCUGCAUUAAAAAAUCAAUAAUCUUCAGUAUGCAUUUGCACUUAUCACACCUGACUGAAGGAAAGCAUGAAUCAUUCAAACUUGCAGAAAGGUUUUAUGGCCUUACUCAUGUUCUUCAAUGAAAUAAUACGCUUUCUUCAAGUGCUGCUGAUUUCACAACAGUUCACUUUGUGUAUUCUGUGCUGCAAAAUAAAGCUGACUGGAGUAGAAAUUUU
Molecule: long non-coding RNA, 792 nt
Organism: Oreochromis niloticus (Nile tilapia)
Lineage: Eukaryota; Metazoa; Chordata; Actinopteri; Cichliformes; Cichlidae
Exons: 5
Source: RefSeq, a predicted model, not a curated record